GGGGUUGUGGCUCAGUGGUAGAGCACUUGCCUAGCACAUGUGCAGGCACUGGGUUUGAUCCUCAGCACCUCA
RNAcentral lists this transfer RNA (72 nucleotides) under Marmota monax (woodchuck). Its description in RNAcentral is "tRNA.Ala". The record is from RNAcentral. Lineage: Eukaryota; Metazoa; Chordata; Mammalia; Rodentia; Sciuridae.